Molecule: long non-coding RNA, 1813 nt
Filed under: Marmota monax (woodchuck)
Lineage: Eukaryota; Metazoa; Chordata; Mammalia; Rodentia; Sciuridae
Source: RNAcentral
UCCUGCCUCAGCCUCCCAAGCGCUGGGAUUACAGGUGUGUACCACCAUGCAUGAUUUAUGAAUUAAAUGAAUAUGAAUUAAAUAUGAAUUAAAUGCAGACCUUCUUUACUAUAGUUCACCUUUCCUCUGUAAACAUGUCUGGGAUGUUUCAGGACUCAGUGACGUUUGAGGAUGUGGUUGUGAACUUCAGUGUGGAUGAAUGGGCUAUGUUGGAUCAUGCCCAGCGGGAACUCUACCGAGAUGUUGUCGGGGAAAUCUUUAUGAGCUUGGCCUUUAUAGGUAAGGAAGACAAUUUUUCUUUACUUACUCAAUUAAAGAGCAAGUGUUUCUUGCCCAUUAGUGAUGUUCAUGAUUUGAAACGUGGAAAGGAAAUACUGUGGUAAAUAAACUGGCAUGGUUGCAACUCAUCAGAAACUUAGAGUCUAAUAUAAUAUGUUUCCUUUUAAGUUGUAACAAUUAAUGAUUAUGACGUUUUCUCUAAGUUAUAAUAAUUCAUAAUGGUUUUUCUGGCUCUACUUUCUAGGGGAAAAAUGGGACCAGAACAUUGAAGAUUGGUACAGAAAUCAGGGGAGAAAUUUAAGGUAAUUUAUAAUGAAAGGAGAAAGCAGUCUUACCAAAGCAUCUUAAUAUGUCCUAGAGUUUUUUUUGUUGUUGUUGUUUGUUUUGUUUUUGUUUUUUGGUACCAGGGAUUCAACUCAGGAGCACUCUUCCACUGAGCCACAUCCCCAGACCUAUUUUAUAUUUUAUUUAGAGACAGGGUUUCACUGAGUUGCUUAGUGCCUUGCCAUUGCUGAGGCUGGUUUUGAAAUUGUGAUCCUCCUGUCUCAGCCUCCCAAGCCGCUGGGAUUACAGACAUGCACCACCGAGCCCAGCUGUCAUAGAGUUUUUUAUGUAAGUAAAUAAAUAAGCCUCUCUCCAAAUUUUAUGUAUUCAGAAAAAUUUCACCUAUAUAUGUAUUCAAGUGUGAUGUUCGAUGUUUGAAAAAUAGGAACCAUUUAUUAGAGUCUGCAAAUAUCACUGAGUAUCGCUGUUUUAUUUAAUAGAUGAGAUUAAGCCCUCUUGCAGAGCAUUCAAUCUGUUCACUUUCAAAUAAUUUAGACAGGGCAGAAAACCCUCACUUUCUCUGAUAACAAUAAAAAUGUCAGUUUAUAUAAUCCCAGUGGCUCAGGGGGCUGGGGCAGGAGGAUCACAGGUUCAAAGCCAGCCUCAGCAACUUAGAAAGGCCCUAAGAAACUUUGUGAGACCCUGUCUCAUUAUAAAAAAAAGUCUGGGCAUAGCGGCAGGAAAGAUAGUGGAAUGAGAUGGACAUCAUUACCCUAGGUAUAUGUAUGACUGUGCGUAUGCUGCAAUGCUACAUGUACAACCAGAGAAAUGAAAAGUGCUGUAAUUGUGUACAAUGAAUCAAAAUGCAUUCUGUUGUCACAUACCUAAUUAAAAUAAAUAAAUAAUUUUUUAAAAAAGGGUCUGGGGAUGUGGCUCAGUGCUUAAGUGCCUCUGGGUUUAAUUCCUGGCACCAAAAAAAGAAAAAAAAAAAGUUGGGCAUGUGUGGUGAGGCACUGGAUUCUUUUUUUUUUUUUUAAUGUGGUGCUGAGGAUCAAACCCAGUGCCUCAUACCUGGGAGGCAAGUGCUCUGCCAUUGAGCCAUAAUCUCAGCCCUGAGGCACUGGAUUCUAUUCUCUGCACCACAUAUAAUAAAUUUUUUAAAAAAUAUAUACAUAUCAAAAAUGUAUAAAGGUAAAUUGUUAUUAGUUAAUGUUUUUUUUUUUUUAAACAGUAAUCAUAUUAUAGAGAGACUCAGAGAAAGUGAAGAAAA